This 787-nucleotide long non-coding RNA is filed under the name Phoenix dactylifera (date palm). RNAcentral describes it as "long non-coding RNA (PDAC_LNC014904)". The record is from RNAcentral. Lineage: Eukaryota; Viridiplantae; Streptophyta; Magnoliopsida; Arecales; Arecaceae.
UGAAAUAAAAUAUUCAUUAGAAGCAAAAUAAAGUUUAUACAACUUCAAGAAUAAAAAUAGAAAAAAUAAAACCCUUGGCCCUUUGUUAGGGCUGCAUCUAGCCCUAGUAAAGGAAUCAGCCCUGCAUGGUAUGGGAUGUGGUAGCGGCGACGCUGAAGGCUUCCAUCUCUUCUUUCCUUCCUUCUCUGAUUCUUUCCUCCCUUAUGUUGGAACUCCCUGAUGAACAAGCCACAGACUUCUUCGGAUCAGAAAAGAGCUGCCCCUUCCAGGAGAUUAACUCUUCCUUUUUAUAGCCCCCUGACUCCUGUUAUCCUCGCCCGAAUAUAAUGAGAAGAUAAAUGCAGAGGAAUCGCUUCGGUUCCGCGAACGUGAUCGAAAUGGGAAGAAGACCCGAUCCGAACGUGAAAGUCGGAGUCCACCGAUGCCAGAGAUGAGACUCCGACUUUGUUCGCUUCCUGGGAAGCAUGGCUCGAAGGCAUGUGGAAGAUUCAUCCCGAUCGCAUCCCGGAAUGGUUGCAGCUGGUUCAGAUUCGUGUUGAAAGGGAUGAAGUUGCUUGAUCUUUUGGAUGCAGGUGAUAGCGAGGACGUGGAUGUUGAGAAGAUCUCAGAGGAGAAGAUGGGAGGAAGUUGGAUACGGUGGAUUUAUCAGGCUCUGUUCUGAAACAGGGAGAAAGGAUGAAUCAAAUGGAUCCUAAACGGGAUGAAGGGGAGAUAAGCCAAACGCGUGGGAAGAUAAGUUGGGCGAUGAUCCUUGUAUCGCGGAUGCUGGGAAUAACUGGGAGCUGAU